Molecule: long non-coding RNA, 2252 nt
Organism: Apis cerana (Asiatic honeybee)
Lineage: Eukaryota; Metazoa; Arthropoda; Insecta; Hymenoptera; Apidae
Source: RefSeq, a predicted model, not a curated record
GCAAACUCGGAGUAGCCUCAACUGACCUAUCACGUCAGACGGCAAGCUUGCUUUCCGUCAGAUUGCAUUACACGGCUAAGCUUUCAUUAGCCACGUCCAGUAAGCGACAGCUUAACCUUUCCAUGCCGUUCCAUCCUUCCGUCUACUCCGCUCGUCGUAACUGAUAAUUCACUCAACAUCGUGACACCGGCUCAUACUUCAAGGCCCGUCUGCUCGCCCCCUUCCGCUCAAGAACCUUGAAAACUCGAAAACGCGGGAAGGGAAGUGCGUUAUCCGAAGAAUUAAUAAAAGCUAAAUAGAAGAGAGAAUGGUGGUUCGUGAAGAAGGGAGGAGAAAGAAAGAGAAGGAGAGGAAUGGAGUGGCGUCCGAUGGAGGAAAGGACAGAGCAUGGACAAGUACCACUCGCGGUUCCGUAUUUACAUAAAAUAAUCUAUAGCGCCAGGACGUGGCGAGAAAUUACACCGUGGCUUCGCCAAGCUCGAGUACUUGCGCUCACCAACGUUCAACGACUGGUAUUUAUUAUUGAAAAUCGAUUUUCGAACUUUAGGGCAUUAAGUAAAAUAUAAACGUUGAAGAACAAUAAGUAUCUUCAUAAGGUAUUAUUUUGUAGCCCGUUUAAGUUUGAUUAAUCAAUAUUUUUAUGUUAGAUUAAUAUUCAAUUUCUGAUCUCAUUAAUUUUCUGGUAAUAAAACUGGAAUAUUUGCAAUAAUAGUAUUAGUCUAGAAUUAAAAUUGACUUUAAAAUUUUUUUCAAAAGAUAUAUUUGUCAGAAAGAAAUUAAUAUAUAAAUAAAAUGUAAGAAGUGAUCUGGAGAAGUUUAAUAAUUUUAAAAUAUAAAAUAAUAUACAAAUAAUAUAUUAUAAAUAAUUACCUAUUUUUUAUAAAAUUUAUAUGCAAAAAUAUAUUGUUUCACCACUAUUGACUUCUUUCAAUCGCUAAUCAUUUUUCCUAUUAUUCGAUCUUAUUAUUCAAACUAUCUAAAGAUCACUUAUUCUUCAUCUACAAUAUUUUUAAUAUUAUUAUCAACCUAAAAAAUUCUUAUAGACUUUUCCUUCUCCAUUUUCUAUUACACUCAAUUUCCAUUUCAUUUUUCUAAAUAAAAGAAAUACAUUAAUUAAAUUUUCCUCCCUUCCAUUUCUUCAACUUCAAGAAACCAAAAAAAAAUGGAUAUACUCAACUCAAAAAUCUCAUACUGAACACACAGAAUCCAAACCUGUUAAAAUUUCUCCAAAGCCUCGAUCGUUCCGUCAAAUGGUUAACUUCGCGGUCGAGAAAGCAAUUUCUUACCACCGAUCAUAUAUCUUAAAUCAGUUUUACGAGCUGGUGUAUACGAGGCACGGGGUUGGAGGAAAGGGCGAGGAAAAAGGCGGAAGAAUGUACGUAGUCUGCUGCAUCGAUGUCGGGGGAUACGUGGGAGUUGGGAUGGAACAGUCUUGGAGGAGGCGGAGGUCACGUCAUUUCGUGUUAUUAAAUUUAUAUAGAUGGCACGGACCUCUGAUCCCCACGACGUAGAUUUGUCAGAGGGCAUGGAGCAGGGGGUGGGAUAAGGGUUGAGGAACACCGACCCCUUGCAGCCCUUGCGGGAAUUCAAUAUUGCACUUGCCCGUGUCCAUCCUUGCGUGGCGUUCCUCCUCGGCCCCCCCUUGGGGAACCGGCAAAUGUUUGUGAAUCUAAUGCAACCGUUCUCAGAUUUGAUGGCACAGAGAGAAAAUGUGACGCCAUUCACCCUGGCUGACAGAUGAUACGUUGAAAAACGGUCGGAUUACGAAUCCAAGGACGGAGAUGACGCGUGGAAUGGAAGAGGAUUAAUAGAAAUAAGAGAAUAUAGGAUAAGUAAAAAAUGGAAGAAUAGGACGAUUUGAACGAGAAUAUUUCGAGUUUUUUGAUGAAUUUUGCGAUUUUUUAAGAAUUAAAAUUUUGUAAUGGACCCAUUACAAUAACAUAAUAAAGUAUUUAUACAAAUGGGAUAUCUCUUUAUAGAGAUUUAUUCAUCAAGUUAUAAAUAAUUCAAGUUCACGUUGAUGAACUUAAUAAAUAAAUCUCAAUCGAUAUUUUUGUAUGUUCUUGUUUUGCUUUGUAUCAAUAAUAUAAAUUAUUAUUAUUAUUAUUGCUCGAUGCUUUUAUAUAUUAAAAUAAAUUCAUAUCUCCUUGUCUCCUUAAAAUAUCAAUGCUUAAUUAAUUAAUAUUACAUUACAAUUUAUAAUAUUCAUGAAUGUAAUUUAUAAUGUGUUAUUAAACUUGACUUACGAAUAG